RNAcentral lists this ribosomal RNA (254 nucleotides) under uncultured bacterium. RNAcentral's name for it is "partial 16S ribosomal RNA". It matches the Rfam family "Bacterial small subunit ribosomal RNA", at positions 524 to 776 of the family's 1533-position model. The record is from RNAcentral.
UACGAAGGGGGCUAGCGUUGUUCGGAAUUACUGGGCGUAAAGCGCGCGUAGGCGGUUUUGCAAGCCAGAGGUGAAAUGCCUGAGCUCAACUUAGGAAUUGCCUUUGGGACUGCGAGGCUUUGAGGACUGGAGAGGUGAGUGGAAUUCCCAGUGUAGAGGUGAAAUGCGUAGAUAUUGGGAGGAACACCGGUGGCGAAGGCGGCCCCCUGGACCGGUACUGACGCUGAGGCGCGAAAGCGUGGGUAGCAAACGGG